Molecule: long non-coding RNA, 1158 nt
Organism: Mauremys mutica (yellowpond turtle)
Lineage: Eukaryota; Metazoa; Chordata; Testudines; Geoemydidae
Exons: 5
Source: RefSeq, a predicted model, not a curated record
UAAUCAUGAGUUUAUUAUCAAAGAUAAAAAUGUAAGAGAUAUCAAGUAAGGAUAAUAGAAACAGAAAUGGGUACACAUAAAAUAAGAAGUACAACAUGCUUCUUAAAGUUAAAUUUAGACUCUAGCUCAGAGGUGGGCAAACUAUGGCCCACGAGCCAUUUUAAGCCAGCUCGCGAGCUCCCACUGAGGAGGCGGGUUGGGGGCUGCACCACACUGGUUGGCCCUGCUCCGAUGCUCCCAUCAGGGAGCCGGGUCGGGGGCCGCACCAUGCAGCUCAGCCCCGCUUCGGCACUGCAGCCGGGGCGCCAGGCACACCACGCGACUCAGCCCCACUCUGGCGCUCCAGCUGGGACGCUGGGGCGGGGGCCGCAUCAUGCAGCUCAGCCCCGCUUUGGCGCUCCAGCCGGGGCGCCGGCCACACCACGCGGCUCCCGGAAGCCGCAGCCUGGCCCCACUCCAAGGGUCAGGGGCCACUCCACACCUAGGAGCCGGAGAAGGGACAUGCCACCGCUUCUGGGCACCACUUGAGGUUUCCCUGACACAUGAAGUGCCCUCUGUGAACCGGUUUGUAAAACCACUACUCUCUCCUCUCCUUUGAAUCCCUCCUCAAGACCUACUGCAAAACGGAAUCCCUGCCCCUCUCCCAGGGUGCACUCUGACAUCAUCAUCAGGGGGCUGAGGUAGCAGAAGCUGCAUGAAGAGGCUACAGCAGCCUUGAGAUCACCAGACAGAGGAGGAGAAGAAUAAAGGAGGCUUUGUGCCAUCCCAUCCCCAGAGAAACUGCAGCAGUAUUGAGGAAGGUUGAGGAGAAAUACAACCCUCCAAACACACACACACACCCCUCCCUCCAAAGUUGGAGGGAGGGAUGGAGAAGCAGCACCCAAGUCACUUCCUCGCUCCCACUCCCCAAGAACAGGAGCAUGCUGAGAGUCAGGAGAGAAAUGCCCACUGGGAAGAACUCUCCUCUUAACAGGAACCUGGGCAGCCUGGAGAUAAUCUUCUGUUAUUUGCCUGGUUGAAGCAUGUGAAAACAGAGACAAGAGUAUUCUCAUGGAACAAAAUACAGACAGCAUCUAGCGCAACAAAGGAACAACUUUUCCAGAACUUUAAGGAUAUCAUGUUUUCAGAAAAUACCUCAGCAUUAACUAACACCAAAAG